AGCAUGCGGUUGACCAUAGAGACGGGAUGUUCUAGGCAACUCAGAGGUCAUAGGAGCAAACCCCGAGAGAGGAUGUAUAAGGAAUACCAAGCCUUUCCCAACAAAAAGCGGGAAGGGACCCAGGCCCCAGGAGUCCCUCGCCGAAGGAGGACUCACAGAAAUAAAAUCCACACGCAUCUGGAGAUCCCAAGUCUCCCGGCUGGGUGCACGAGUCUACCCUGCUUCCGCCUCGUCAGGCCUGUUCUCCUUGGGUUCACACAGCCAUUUACCAGACCUCUUAGUCCCCACGUCGCCGGAGAGAUCGAGCGCCCCAUCCCCACGAGUCAUGCCACGAGCACGAAAAGGUUACAUUAAUGAUGGACAGUGCGCAGCAAGACAGUCAAAAGACUGCCCGAGGGAAAGUGUCUAUUUCUGCCAUGCCCUGCUCCCGCACACAGGACACCAACUUACCUUCACUCUCUGAGCUGGAAAG
This 472-nucleotide long non-coding RNA is filed under the name Mus musculus (house mouse). Its description in RNAcentral is "remodeling and spacing factor 1, opposite strand 2 (Rsf1os2)". The record is from RNAcentral. Lineage: Eukaryota; Metazoa; Chordata; Mammalia; Rodentia; Muridae.